RNAcentral lists this long non-coding RNA (205 nucleotides) under Gossypium raimondii (Peruvian cotton). Its description in RNAcentral is "long non-coding RNA (GRAI_LNC005662)". The record is from RNAcentral. Lineage: Eukaryota; Viridiplantae; Streptophyta; Magnoliopsida; Malvales; Malvaceae.
AUUUACAACUUGACCCAAAAUUUUAGAGAAAUUGCAAAAUUACCCCACUGGUAAUUUUUGUGAAAAAUUUUCUGACUCGAAGCGAGUCCACACUCGGCAGACGUGAGCUUAAGGAUAGCGGAGAAGACUACUCGAUCGAAGCGCUCAUCCUAGACGAAUCAAAAAGGUACAAUUUAGAUUAAUUGUUUAUUACUUUAGAUAUCAC